This 497-nucleotide ribosomal RNA is filed under the name uncultured bacterium. Its description in RNAcentral is "partial 16S ribosomal RNA". It matches the Rfam family "Bacterial small subunit ribosomal RNA", at positions 28 to 507 of the family's 1533-position model. The record is from RNAcentral.
GAUGAACGCUGGCGGCGUGCCUAAUACAUGCAAGUCGAGCGAACGGACGAGAAGCUUGCUUCUCUGAUGUUAGCGGCGGACGGGUGAGUAACACGUGGAUAACCUACCUAUAAGACUGGGAUAACUUCGGGAAACCGGAGCUAAUACCGGAUAAUAUUUUGAACCGCAUGGUUCAAAAGUGAAAGACGGUCUUGCUGUCACUUAUAGAUGGAUCCGCGCUGCAUUAGCUAGUUGGUAAGGUAACGGCUUACCAAGGCAACGAUGCAUAGCCGACCUGAGAGGGUGAUCGGCCACACUGGAACUGAGACACGGUCCAGACUCCUACGGGAGGCAGCAGUAGGAAAUCUUCCGCAAUGGGCGAAAGCCUGACGGAGCAACGCCGCGUGAGUGAUGAAGGUCUUCGGAUCGUAAAACUCUGUUAUUAGGGAAGAACAUAUGUGUAAGUAACUGUGCACAUCUUGACGGUACCUAAUCAAAAAGCCACGGCUAACUACGUG